GAGUAACGCGUGGGUAACCUGCCUCACACAGGGGGAUAACAGUUGGAAACGACUGUUAAUACCGCAUAAGCGCACAGUACCGCAUGGUACAGUGUGAAAAACUCCGGUGGUGUGAGAUGGACCCGCGUCUGAUUAGCUAGUUCGGUGAGGUAACGGCCCACCAAGGCGACGAUCAGUAGCCGGCCUGAGAGGGUGUACGGCCACAUUGGGACUGAGACACGGCCCAAACUCCUACGGGAGGCAGCAGUGGGGAAUAUUGCACAAUGGGGGGAAACCCUGAUGCAGCGACGCCCGCGUGAGUGAUGAAGUAUCUCGGUAUGUAAAGCUCUAUCAGCAGGGAAGAUAAUGACGGUACCUGACUAAGAAGCACCGGCUAAAUACGUGCCAGCCGCGGC
This 395-nucleotide ribosomal RNA is filed under the name uncultured bacterium. RNAcentral describes it as "bacterial SSU rRNA". It matches the Rfam family "Bacterial small subunit ribosomal RNA", at positions 108 to 518 of the family's 1533-position model. The record is from RNAcentral.